CUCCUGCAAUAAGUAUUUAUUCUCCACCAGACUUACGAAACUGCGAUCCAAGGCCACCCAGGUGCCCUACUUUGUCAUAGUGUGAGUGAGAGGAACUUGCCAGGGAUUGAAAACUACAGAACAUAGCUGUUUUGGAAAGAAUUGGAUUUGAAGGUAUUACACCCAUCCACAUCUGAUGCCAGAGGAGCACAUGAGCCACGCCUCUGCCACAGAGAGCUCCGUCCCAGUGGGUGAUAUAUUUUCUCUGAACUAUUCCUGGAAAAUAUUCCAGAAGACAAAUCAGCAACAGGAUGAAAGAGGCUCUCAGGGAUUGGACGAAGCAGCCUACCCUGGGGAGAGCCAUCUGCUUCCCUGAGUCCAAGGAUUCAAAUGCUGAUCACAUUCUGAAGCACCCUGCUGGACACCCCAGAAACAACAUUUAUUUAAUCUGGGCACCUGUGGGCCAGUCCAGAUGAUACACAGAAUUAACCAUCAUAUAGGUCUUCUUCUGCAGGUUCUUCUUAAUAGGAGCAGUUAGAAAAAUUUCCAGAAUUUUCGAUUAUUUUUUAAUGAUGACUAUGCCUGAUGCUGUUGUUAUGGCCCCAGGAGAACCAGGCUCCGAAAGUCCAAUUCCUUCUGAGGCAAGUCUACCACACAAUAUUUUUGAUGAUUGCUCCUCUUCUUGUUUGCUGGGUUCUGCUGGCUUUAUGCCAAACUACUCUAGAGGCUUUUGGUGAGUUUUUGAUACUUACCUUGCAAAAAGGAAACCAUGAUAAGACAGACAUAUUCCAUCUUACUGAACAGAUAGAUAAUGUACAUGUUAAGUACCACAGGGAAGUAAGUACACCACGAGGAUGAGGGCAACUCACUUCUUUACAGGGUUUCCACUGAGGCAUAGACUGUGAUGCUAUUAAUCAUGACAGGGACUCAGGAGGAGUAUCUGGGAUAAAAGAUCAAUUUGAUUGUGGGGGCUGAAUUUGACGUGUAAGAAACACACAGGUGAUGCACGCUGCUCGACAUCAACACUGCAUCCUUAAAAACAGCAAGCUUUCUGUUUGCAAUUUGGGAAGGGAAAAUAUCAGUCAAGUGCCUUUUACACUUUUUACAUUUAUGCAGUUGAUGUAUUUGUUUUCCAGAUCUUCCGUAAAUUUAGACACCUUGAUGUUCCUGAACCCUUUACUAUUCGGUGUUAUAAAACACCUUUUGCAUUCUGGGAAAGUCAGAGCUUCCUGUGUUGCCAAGGUGCCCUAACCAAACUGAUAUGCACUCUUUUGAGUCUCAAAGCCACACCUAUUUUUUUUUUCAAGGUUUUGCUUAAGACUAAUUCUGCUUGAGCCAUGUUUUGUGGCACACAUCUCAGCACUCUGGGAGGCUGAAGCAGGAGGAAUAAAGGUUUGAGCCCAGCCUGGGUAACUUACCAACACCUUGUCUCAAAAAUUUUUUUUAAAUUUAAAAUGGCUAGAGAUGUAGGUCAGUGUGAAGGCCCUGGGUUAAAGAAAGAGAGAAAGAGGGAGAGAGGGAAAGGGGGGAGAAAGAAGGAAAGAAGACAGACAGAUAGAUAGAUAGAUAGACAGAUAGACAGAUAGGUAGAUGGAAAAAGAAAGAAAAAAGUUUAGUUCCUCUCGGAAGCAUCCCUAACUGGUACCCUUGUAGGAGUGAUGUGACACCACACGUUUUAUACCAUACAACUGUUUCAUAAUUACAUGCUCAAUAAUCUUUUUUUUUUGUCUUUUUGAGAUGGGUCUCACUAUGUUGCUUAGGCUGAUCCUGAACUCAUGGGCUCCAACGACCCUCCCACCUCAGCUUCUUAGUACCUGGGACUACAGAUGUGUCCUCGCGUACCAGGCAAGAGCUGGCUUUUGUAUGGUCGCUCCUAAGUGUCAGUCUUCAUGGUGAUCACUCCCCACACACAGAGGCUUACCCAAGGACAAAAGAUCUGAAGGCAGAGGGUGUACAACUAACCUCGGACCAAAGGGAGUGCUGUGGUCCAAGACAUACAUUCCAACAAGGGAUCGGGCAGGGUCCUUCAAAGUAUUUCUGUAGAGGAGAUACAGAUACAGACCCAGAGGACAGCUCAUAAUUGCUGGAUGAUGCAAACUAAGCAACAUCCACCUGAAGACUAGUCUUUGGUAACUAAGACCUUGUGCCUAGCUCCCUUUUCCACACAUUUCUCCUAAAUCAAGUCUGAGCCACGAUUUAGCUAAGCUGUGACUGACGUAUCUACCCCACCACACCUCAGCGCUGUCCUGCCUGAUGAAUAUUCCCAGAGGGCUUCUGCCUGCCUUCACCCAGUCAUCCCAGCCCUGCCCUGAGCCUCUCUGUCUCUCCUGCUCUGAUGUGUGACAUCACAUCAUAUUUCACUUUACUUUCUACCUGUCCAUGGGCACCAGUCUUCUUGAGCAGAAAGAUGCUUGUGUGGCCUGUGAGGGUCAUGUGGCUGUCUGACAGUCUGCAUAUGUCCUAGUGUGGGCCUCGGAGCCUGCGGGAGAAAGCGUGAGCUCCUCAAGACAUAAGAAGUGGAAAGGGCAGCGGACGAGGCCAGUGACCGGCUUUCUGACACUGGAUCAGUCGCCUAGCCCACCUGCCUCCCUCGUAACACAGGGCUGACAGUCAUCUCAUGGAUGGGAAAAUUCUUAAAUGCCAAGCACUGCUGUUAGCAGUAUUUUAUGUCAAAUGCUUUGACCAAAUCAGGCUAAAUUGUGGCUAUGUAUAAGUUUUUGACUCUAAAAAUUGUUUGCUGAAUGACUCAGAUAUCUUUUCUGAAUUUGCUUACAUCCGCCAAGCAUUUCUUCAGAAAUGGGAAAAUGCUUUACAUUUGGUUGUCAUGAUUAAUAAAAUUGUAAAUUUUAAAUUAUCAUUGAAAUUAACAUAUUACUUACAUUUAAAAAACUGGAAAUAGAGAAAGGAAGGAGAAAAAUAAAAGGCCAAAAUCUCAAAGUGAAUGACAACUACAUUAACAUUAUAUUUCUUCCAGUUCUUUUUCUAGAUUAUUUUUAGAAUUUACUCAGUAGUAAGCACUUUAGAUUUUUUUGUAAUCUGCUGGUAAACCCUAAUAGAGGAAGGAUGUUGUGCACUUACAGGU
Long non-coding RNA from Heterocephalus glaber (naked mole-rat), 3061 nucleotides. The record is from Ensembl. NCBI's taxonomy places the organism in Eukaryota, Metazoa, Chordata, Mammalia, Rodentia, Bathyergidae.